AAUAUUGCACAAUGGGGGAAACCCUGAUGCAGCGACGCCGCGUGAGCGAAGAAGGCCUNCGGGUCNUNAAGCUCUGUCCUUGGGGNCGAAGGUCUUCGGACUUGACGGUACCUAAGGAGGAAGCCCCGGCCAACUACGUGCCAGCAGCCGCGGUAAUACGUAGGGGGCAAGCGUUGUCCGGAAUUAUUGGGCGUAAAGGGUGCGUAGGCGGCCUUUUAAGUCAGACGUGAAAGCCCAAGGCUUAACCGUGGGAAUGCAUUUGAAACUGGAGGGCUUGAGUAUCGGAGAGGGUAGUGGAAUUCCCAGUGUAGCGGUGGAAUGCGUAGAUAUUGGGAGGAACACCAGUGGCGAAGGCGACUACCUGGACGAAAACUGACGCUGAGGCACGAAAGCUAGGGGAGCAAAC
RNAcentral lists this ribosomal RNA (406 nucleotides) under uncultured bacterium. RNAcentral's name for it is "partial 16S ribosomal RNA". It matches the Rfam family "Bacterial small subunit ribosomal RNA", at positions 360 to 773 of the family's 1533-position model. The record is from RNAcentral.